UCGUUGUCUCCUCCUCCCCCGACUGGUUUACCCACGCUGUUACGACCCAGCCCCCUGUUCCCAUCCCUCCGACCUCUCCCCCGGUGACCCCUGACCCAACCAUGGCCAAUGACCUGUCUAGCUCGAUAUCCGCCCUCUUCUCUGCUGUUACCUCCCUGGUUAAUUCCGCGAUUCCUGCCCCGCCUCCCACUGAUUUACCUCCUCCUCCUCCACCUCCUCCCACCCUUAAUACUCACCUAUCACGCCCAUCCCAGCCGGCCCCCUGCUUUAGAGGCCCGUGCAUACCCUCCAGCUCCCGCUGAUGGGUUUUACACGGGUGGUUUCCAAG
This is a non-coding RNA of Pelobates cultripes (western spadefoot toad), 328 nucleotides long. The record is from the annotation of a GenBank genome assembly. Lineage: Eukaryota; Metazoa; Chordata; Amphibia; Anura; Pelobatidae.